This 253-nucleotide ribosomal RNA is filed under the name uncultured bacterium. RNAcentral's name for it is "partial 16S ribosomal RNA". It matches the Rfam family "Bacterial small subunit ribosomal RNA", at positions 524 to 776 of the family's 1533-position model. The record is from RNAcentral.
UACGUAGGGGGCAAGCGUUGUCCGGAAUUACUGGGCGUAAAGCGCGUGUAGGCGGCAAGGCAAGUCGGGUGUGAAAGCCCUGGGCUCAACCCAGGAAGUGCAUUCGAUACUGCCGAGCUGGAGUCCCGGAGAGGAUGGUGGAACUCUCGGUGUAGAGGUGAAAUUCGUAGAGAUCCGGAAGAACACCGGUGGCGAAGGCGGUCGGCUGGGCAAUGGCUGACGCUGAGGCGCGACAGCGUGGGGAGCAAACAGG